AUUAUAUGUAUUGAUAAAGGCAAGGGCAUAGGGCUAGGGAGACAGCAUUCUCCAAAGCUAACAGUAAUUCUCUUGUCAAUUAAGCAAAUUGUGCCAACGCCUCCGGUAGGGCAAGGUGGGAUGAAGGAUGUGGGUGGGUGCAGUAGUGGUGGCUGAUGAAGAGCUUCGGAGACCUUCAGUGAUGGUGGAUACGCAGAGGACUGAGGUGUGCCAUGUUGCCCUCUGCGUCCAUGGUCACUGCAAUCUUCCUGCAGUAUGGCAAGAUGUGCCUCUACGUUUCUGAUGAGUGGUAGCCUCUGUAGCUUGACCCAGUAGCCAAAGAUGCCUUGUGUGUACACCUCGGCGAGAUGAGAACGGCCACACGCACUGCCUGAAUUCUGAGGCAAAGGACAAACAGGAAAAAAUUAGAUUAACGGGAAGAGAAGGCUAGACAUGAGCAUGGAAUAUAUGCAGAGAAAACAUGCAGGAAGCCAAAAUCCCAUUCAGAGUUUGCCAAAUUACCCAUGACUUCUUUCAAACCCCUCCUUAUAACUCCUCAUUGUACGCAAAGCCCAUAAGAACAAAAUUAAUAACAGUGUAUGAGUAUCAAUUAUACAUUGCAGAUGUAAAUUUUACAAGCCCCCUCUACUCUGCAGGAGAGGGGCCUCUUUAUUAUGUGCAGUAGAGAAUGCACUGAGCAAAU
Struthio camelus australis is the source of this 682-nucleotide non-coding RNA. Lineage: Eukaryota; Metazoa; Chordata; Aves; Struthioniformes; Struthionidae. The record is from RefSeq and is a predicted model, not a curated record.